Molecule: ribosomal RNA, 465 nt
Filed under: uncultured bacterium
Lineage: Bacteria
Description: partial 16S ribosomal RNA
Rfam family: Bacterial small subunit ribosomal RNA
Source: RNAcentral
CCUACGAGGGGCAGCAGUAGGGAAUCUUCCACAAUGGGCGAAAGCCUGAUGGAGCAACGCCGCGUGGGUGAAGAAGGUCUUCGGAUCGUAAAACCCUGUUGUUAGAGAAGAAAGUGCGUGAGAGUAACUGUUCACGUUUCGACGGUAUCUAACCAGAAAGCCACGGCUAACUACGUGCCAGCAGCCGCGGUAAUACGUAGGUGGCAAGCGUUAUCCGGAUUUAGUGGGCGUAAAGGGAACGCAGGCGGUCUUUUAAGUCUGAUGUGAAAGCCUUCGGCUUAACCGGAGUAGUGCAUUGGAAACUGGGAGACUUGAGUGCAGAAGAGGAGAGUGGAACUCCAUGUGUAGCGGUGAAAUGCGUAGAUAUAUGGAAGAACACCAGUGGCGAAAGCGGCUCUCUGGUCUGUAACUGACGCUGAGGUUCGAAAGCGUGGGUAGCAAACAGGAUUAGAUACCCGUGUAGUC